AUGGCUUCUACAUCUGUUCACAAGACAAUGGCCGCCAUGUUCUUGCUGGUCCUGACCCUAGGGCACCUGAUGGCCGCUGCUGAUGCCUCUUUGCACCACCAGGACGCUCGACGGCUGCUCGUAGAGCACAAUAAUCUCCCCGUGAAGCUGGGCCACUCCGAAGCUGUAAGGGUCGCCGUCGGACCACAAGAGCAACCCGGAACCACUGCCGUCCCGACAAAUGCUGAUAAGGAAGCCUUGUGCCCUUGCUGGCCCGCCAUGUUGCUAGCUAACGGCCAAAGGAUGUUGAUGUUCAAUUGA
This 300-nucleotide ribosomal RNA is filed under the name Triticum aestivum (bread wheat). RNAcentral's name for it is "partial small subunit ribosomal RNA". The record is from RNAcentral. Lineage: Eukaryota; Viridiplantae; Streptophyta; Magnoliopsida; Poales; Poaceae.